CGCCCCGUCCUUGGGGAGUAGUUACCCUCAGUUAUGAGGGGCCUUCAUCAACAAGCUUGGCUUACGGGCCAUGGUGAAGGCAGCGUUUUGCAUAAAACGCC
This 101-nucleotide small RNA is filed under the name Acetobacter syzygii. Its description in RNAcentral is "Manganese sequence". It matches the Rfam family "Manganese Mn2+ riboswitch aptamer (yybP-ykoY)". From Rfam's summary of the family: This RNA was originally discovered in E. coli during a large scale screen and was named SraF. The family was later found to exist upstream of related families of protein genes in many bacteria, including the the yybP and ykoK genes in B. subtilis. The record is from RNAcentral. Lineage: Bacteria; Pseudomonadati; Pseudomonadota; Alphaproteobacteria; Acetobacterales; Acetobacteraceae.